UACGUAGGUGGCAAGCGUUGUCCGGAAUUAUUGGGCGUAAAGGGCGUGUAGGUGGAUAAUUAAGUCGUGUGUCUAAGUGCGGGGCUCAACCCCGUAUGGGCGCAGGAAACUGGUUAUCUUGAGUGCAGGAGAGGAAAGUGGAAUUCCCAGUGUAGCGGUGAAAUGCGUAGAUAUUGGGAGGAACACCAGUGGCGAAGGCGACUUUCUGGACUGUGUCUGACACUGAGGCGCGAAAGCUAGGGGAGCGAACGGGAUUAGAUACCCCGGUAGUCCUAGCCGUAAACGAUGGGUACUAGGUGUAGAGGGUAUCGACCCCCUCUGUGCCGCAAGCAAACGCAAUAAGUACCCCGCCUGGGGAGUACGGCCGCAAGGUUGAAACUCAAAGGAAUUGACGGGGGCCCGCACAAGCGGUGGAGUAUGUGGUUUAAUUCGACGCAACGCGAAGAACCUUACCAGGGCUUGACAUUGAGUGAAAAGCUAAGAGAUUAGCUCCUCUCUUCGGAGACACAAAAACAGGUGGUGCAUGGCU
RNAcentral lists this ribosomal RNA (529 nucleotides) under uncultured bacterium. RNAcentral's name for it is "bacterial SSU rRNA". It matches the Rfam family "Bacterial small subunit ribosomal RNA", at positions 524 to 1050 of the family's 1533-position model. The record is from RNAcentral.